UUCCUCUUAUCCACGGAUGAUCCUCGCCCAAAUUUCUCGGAGGUGAUAGGGGCUGGGUCGCACAUGCUCGUUUAGAUCGGGAACGACCAGCCUGCUCCGUGAGGUCGUGGACGGCGAGGCUGCGUAUGUAGGGAAGAGGAGCAAGCCAGGAGGUCGCUGAUGAGGUUCGCCGACCGGACAAGGGAAAGGGCGCCGAUCUCCCUCCUCGUGUUCCCAGUCGUCGGCGCGGCAACCAUCACAUCAACCAAAUCUUCUGCCAGGGUCGCCAGUCGACGUCAAGCAGCAGAUGACGCGCAAGCCGUCCUUCCCUUUCUUCCGUGCGGCUCUACCCUGUCCCGACUUCUCCUCGCCGCGCCGCCGUCCACUCGACCAUAGCUCGCCCCCCGUCCACAAAGGAGACAACUAGCAGCAGCGCCCCAAAUCGAGGGAGGGAGGAUCCUCUCAGGUGAGAUUUUAUCUCUCGAAUGUGAUGUCCCAUCUCUUGGUUAGUUGCUUUGUUUGGAUGAUUUCAGGGCUUGAUGUGCGCUGCGAUUUAGGAGUAUUUGGUAGUAUGAACUCUAGCAUAGGGAAUAGAUCUGGAAUGAUGGGUUUAAUAACCAUAGGAGAUGGAUGAUGCCUUUGUGCAGUACUAGGAAUCAAAAGGAUCUGGGAUGAUCGAGGGAUUUGGGUGUGAACGGUGACGAGGCAACACAACAAUUUCAUGUGUUCGUUAUAACUUUAAAUAGUCUAAACAACAAUUUCUAUGAACUAAGAUGAACCAUAAAGCUACUAAACUUAUAACAAUUGGCUUCAUCUCGCAAAAAAUUGCAGUCAACUAACAAAUUGAUGGUAAGACCAGAAGAAUAUAACUGAAGAAAUAUAUAGCAUUAUAAGUGAAAGACAAACAGACUUAUCAUCAGUUAAGUGACAUAUUAACUUUUCAUCAGUGAGGUACAACAUUCUCUACAUACAGUGCUUUUUUUUCUUGAGUAUACCAGUUCAAUAAUGAACGAUUGAUUCACUCGGCUCAGUUUCUUGUGGGUUCCCGGUGAUCUGUGCACAUGAGAGCCUCCUUGGGUUUGCCCUGGGCUCGGUCUGCAUGCGUGGUUUCGUCCUCCACCAGCGCAACUUCGACUCGAGUAGGAUAAGGGGGUGCAUCUUGUUUGAUUCACAGCGAGAUGAUGUACUCAGAAAAGAUGGAGGCCAGCGACAAGUGUGAUAAGCGGUCAGAGAAUCGAUCGUUAAGUUGGUUUGUCAUAAAUUCUACUACAUUUUCCCUUCUUUCUGUACUUACUUCUUUCUCUCUGAUUGAUCGAUGUGCUAUGCAAAUUUGUUUGAUAUAUGAAUUAAUUUAAGUUUUGUACAUGUUUGCAUCAUACUUAAUGUUAUUCCCUAUUGAAUUAGCAAGAUUUAGGAAGUCAUUUGAUGGAGAGGUAAAUGAAGUGAGAAGGAGGAAGAGCACACACUAAGUUUAUGAUGACACUAAUAAGAAACCAGAGUUUGCUGUAGGUAUGACCUUUAAUGAUAGCAGGGAAUUCAAGCAAGCAUUGUUUAAGUAUGGGCUAGCAAAUUUCCACCAUUUAAGAUUUCCAAAAGAUGAGAAGAAAAGGCUGCCUGUAGGGGAUCGGAGGACCCAAACUGCAGCGACCUCGCCUCGAUGAAGAAGCCCGUGACGAGCCCGGCAGAAGAAAGGAUAAACGGCGGCGGCAGUUGGUUCGGUUGAAACCUGUUCGGGGCCAUGUCCGAGGUGGCCUGUUUGUGGGCUCAACUCAGGCGACAGGUAAGCAAAACAGCCUUCCCAUACCGCUAAACUGAAGGCUGGGGGUGUUUUGCCCGGUUUGGAAUAGUUUAGGGGAUUAAGAACUCAGUAAUCUUUAGAUAAAGGAACUAUGUAUCAAGUCUAAUGUAAAGCAGAAAUUCAUGCAAAUCUGUGCAAGGUGCAACAUCAAUUGCAAGGUCUUAGAAAAAGAAA
Hordeum vulgare subsp. vulgare (domesticated barley) is the source of this 1951-nucleotide long non-coding RNA. RefSeq lists it as uncharacterized. NCBI's taxonomy places the organism in Eukaryota, Viridiplantae, Streptophyta, Magnoliopsida, Poales, Poaceae. The record is from RefSeq and is a predicted model, not a curated record. The transcript has 2 exons.